This 256-nucleotide ribosomal RNA is filed under the name uncultured bacterium. Its description in RNAcentral is "partial 16S ribosomal RNA". It matches the Rfam family "Bacterial small subunit ribosomal RNA", at positions 524 to 780 of the family's 1533-position model. The record is from RNAcentral.
UACAGAGGUCUCAAGCGUUGUUCGGAUUCAUUGGGCGUAAAGGGUGUGUAGGUGGCGCCGUAAGUCGGGUGUGAAAUUUCGGAGCUUAACUCCGAAACUGCAUUCGAUACUGCCGUGCUUGAGGACUGGAGAGGAGACUGGAAUUUACGGUGUAGCGGUGAAAUGCGUAGAUAUCGUGAGGAAGACCAGUGGCGAAGGCGGGUCUCUGGACAGUUCCUGACGCUGAGCACGAAGGUCAGGGGAGCAAACGGGAUUA